Non-coding RNA from Arachis ipaensis, 252 nucleotides. Lineage: Eukaryota; Viridiplantae; Streptophyta; Magnoliopsida; Fabales; Fabaceae. The record is from RefSeq and is a predicted model, not a curated record.
GCUUACUUCCUGAAUCCUAAAUUCUUUUUUAAUGAAAAUUAUAAAGAAGCACCUGAUGUUAUGCGAGGUUUGCUUGAUCUUGUUACCUUGUAUUGCAAGUGUAACAAUUUGGAUUCAGUUCAGGCAAUGAAAGAAAUACAUUUAUAUAGAGAUCGGAAAGAAAGUUUUGAUAGACAAGAAGUUAUUCCAGCUGCAUCUGAACUUAAGCCUGAUGAAUGGUGGAGGUUAUUCGGAGGCUCUGCUCCAUGUCUA